This is a long non-coding RNA of Chinchilla lanigera (long-tailed chinchilla), 2786 nucleotides long. RefSeq lists it as uncharacterized. The record is from RefSeq and is a predicted model, not a curated record. NCBI's taxonomy places the organism in Eukaryota, Metazoa, Chordata, Mammalia, Rodentia, Chinchillidae. The transcript is spliced from 2 exons.
UGAGCUCCACGACUGAGGAUUCAUCACACUCCUUCCCUGCCAUGAUCUGCCUCAUGAUCUGCAGGCUGAAGAAAGGGCCUGGCAUCCCGGAGAGCACUCAGGAGGUAAUCAAUAAGUACUUACUGACUGCCUGAUUGACUAAUGCACUUUGCAUUUGGAUUUCAAAUAAAGAAGCCCUUGAAGACGCCUAGAUUUUCCUACAAAUGAUUUAAAAUGGACCUGUAUUGCAUGGCGGUAAAUUCACUGAUCUUUUGCAGAUGAACAAGUUGAAAUACGAAGAGGAUUAAAAUAAUCUCAAGGUCAAGAGGGGAUUAGUGAUAGCCACAAACUGGAGUUCGAGGUCAAACAUCCUGACUGCCUGUUUAUUGAAUUUAAAGUCUUUGAAUUGUGCUUUCUUUUCCUUCUGACACAGGUAGCUUUUUUGCAUGUGUUAAUCUCUGAUAUAUAGGCUCUGACAAGUUGAAAUGUGAACCUGAUUCUUUUUUGUUUUAUCUUGUUUAUUUUUUAAGUGACUGUAACAAGUCAAAAUGUAUCUAAUUAUCUAUUGUGGUAGUUUCUUUUUGUUCCUAACUGUACCUCGUGUGUCCUUAUUGCUUUGGUAUCUAGCACAGUACUUGGCACAUAGGAGAUAUGAGAUACUUGAUAAAUAUUUAUUGGGUGGAUGAACAUAAUCAAAUAAAAUUAUCUUUUUAGAGUAUUGAACAAUUAGCAUGCCUAAAUUCUCUUUUAUAGCAUUGAGGGAAGUUAAAUGUAUAAACUGCUAUAUUUAAUUCAUAGCAGUAUAUUCUUCACGCCAAAUCAUAAUUAAUUUGCCUAGUUAUUGUCCUUUAGGGAUUAAAUAAAGUGAAUCCACUAUAGCAUCAUCCUUGAUUUGCUUCCUACACCACAGGCUAAACGAGGCUUUAAUUUUCAUCAGUAAAAGUGUAACACAUACUUAGGGAAAGAAAAACACUUCCUCCAAUUGGAAUAAGAGGUAAUUUAAGGAGACACAAUUAUUGGUCCCAAGUUAGCAAAAAAAAAAAAAAAAAAAGUGUUUUAAACCUGACUCAUGUGUGCCUUAUGGAUUUCAUAACUGAUGAUUAGCUUUUCUUAAUCAGUUGAACAUCCAUUUAAGGGACAAAUUGAUUAGCUCCUUGCAUAAUUAACAGAACAUUGAGUACCAUCACUUUCAGUGGAAAAAAUUGUUUUGAUUAACAGCAAAUAUGCACAGUUUAACAUUAAUACAUUAAAUAAGAUUAUAUCAUUAAUAAUCUGUUUUUCCCAAAAGAAUGUAGCUCAGUGGCCAAUGUUUGCAAUUCCCAAAGUAUUUUCGUUUUUUCUGUCUAGCAUUAAAUUUAAUAUAUCUGUUCCACAGAGCAUGAGAGCAUAAUUUAAUGUAUAAAUAAUAACCAACAUUACUAUGUGAUCAAACUCUCAAUUUGUGUUAGCUCUUUUCUUAGUGAAAUGGUAAACACCAUGAUUCAAAAGCACAGAAGAAGGAAAAUAAUUAAAUGUUAAACUUGCACAAAUAAUUUAAAAAGAAGAAGUAAGGAAUUGAAAGAUUGACAAGAAUAUUAAAAUGGAGAGAAUGGUUAUUAAACCUGCCAGGAGCCAUAAAGGACAAGAGACAUGAGCCAAUAGAUGUGACAGAGUUAAACAAUGUGUAAAUAUAAAACCGUGGAAGCAAUAAAACAUUAGAAAAAUGAAAGAUGCAAAAGGAUCUUUCUUCUGAAGCCAGGUCCAAGAAAAUACUCAAAUGCGGAGGAACAACUAAGAAAUAGAUCUUACAAUCCACAGACAGUCAGCAAACUUUAAAGAUGUGCUAUGUCUGUAAUACAUAGGAAAUUGCAUUAAAUUAUACAAAUAAUUAAACCUAAACUUUCAGAAUGUUAGAUGACGCCGUCCUGAGCCAGAUGGUAGUUGGUUCUGACUGCAUCUUGGGCACUGAAGACCUAAUUAGUCUUUGCGAGGAGGUGUGAAGGUGUUAGUCAGUUUUGGAGUUUGGGCUACACAGGACAGGGUGAUGGAGAUGCUAGAAUAUUCAAAACUGAUGAGGCCUGAGGCAAGUUUCAAACCAUAUUUUCAGAAGUUUAGAAACAGAGAAUAUGUAGGAAAUUUGGUUUUGACUUGUUUCUAGAAGUCUACGUUCUAUAUUUGUCUUUUUAAUCCCUCAUGUUAAAUCGCCAGUCCCAGUAAGGAUUAGUUUAAAAGAAAACUGCUUUGUAGGCUCCUAUCAAUAACAUACUGGUCUACUAAUCUAAAAUAAUUAUGUCAUUUUAAUAUUACUACAUUUUACCUGUUCACUAGGGGAUGUGUAGUUGUGACAAUGCAAACAUUACCUGACUAGUACCAGAGACUCCAUAGUUCCUGAAAAAUAGUCAAAUAACUUCAAUUCCAAUAGACCAACUUCUUUUUUGUGGGCGGGUGGGGGUAUGGAGAAUCAAACGCAGGACCUCAUGCUUACCAGGCAGGUGCUGCACCACUGAGCUAUAUCCCUGGCCCCUAGACCAACUUCUUAAAUGUUAGUGUUUAUAAGUGCUGCUUGACUAGCACAAUGAAAAUAAAUUCACUGGCUGGUCCUUGGUGAUUCUGACUCAAUACAUUUGAGAUGAAAACUAAGUAUUUACCUCCAAAACUGAUAGGAGAUCAGUUUUGAAAGUCACACACAAACCGAGAGCUCCUUAGAGUAAGCAUUAUUAUCAUUAUUAUUGCUGUUGUUGUAAUUGCUUCACAAACUAAAUGUGAUGAUGCUUAGCAAUAGUAAUAAUUUAUUGAGUGAAUAAAUAAAUGAAUGUAUGAACCUGAAA